RNAcentral lists this small nucleolar RNA (94 nucleotides) under Lachancea thermotolerans CBS 6340. Lineage: Eukaryota; Fungi; Ascomycota; Saccharomycetes; Saccharomycetales; Saccharomycetaceae. The record is from RNAcentral.
UCUUUGCAUGAUGAUACCAACUCAGCUCACUCAGAUCUUUUAUGAUCGACAACACAUUCCUAUCCAACAUUCAUCAAUUACCUGAUUUCAAAGG